CUUCACCGACCCCAGGUACAGGGGUUCGGCGCGGUCCUGCCCGUAGGUGGCCAGCAGGGCCUGGGCCUC
Molecule: non-coding RNA, 69 nt
Organism: Streptomyces sp. MBRL 601
Lineage: Bacteria; Bacillati; Actinomycetota; Actinomycetes; Kitasatosporales; Streptomycetaceae
Source: Rfam